Molecule: non-coding RNA, 80 nt
Filed under: Leisingera methylohalidivorans
Lineage: Bacteria; Pseudomonadati; Pseudomonadota; Alphaproteobacteria; Rhodobacterales; Roseobacteraceae
Source: RNAcentral
CGCCUCGGGCGUGCGCGAUUUGUUACCGGAUUGCGGGCCACGUAAAACAUUCCCGCUAAAGAGGUCAGGAUGUGAAGGAC